Molecule: ribosomal RNA, 304 nt
Filed under: uncultured bacterium
Lineage: Bacteria
Description: partial 16S ribosomal RNA
Rfam family: Bacterial small subunit ribosomal RNA
Source: RNAcentral
CAGCAGUAGCCGCGGGAAAACGUAGGUGGCAAGCGUUAUCCGGAAUUAUUGGGCGUAAAGCGCGCGUAGGCGGUUUUUUAAGUCUGAUGUGAAAGCCCACGGCUCAACCGUGGAGGGUCAUUGGAAACUGGAAAACUUGAGUGCAGAAGAGGAAAGUGGAAUUCCAUGUGUAGCGGUGAAAUGCGCAGAGAUAUGGAGGAACACCAGUGGCGAAGGCGACUUUCUGGUCUGUAACUGACGCUGAUGUGCGAAUGCGUGGGGAUCAAACAGGAUUAGAUACCCGUGUAGUCCCUGUCUCUUAUAC